UACGGAGGGUGCGAGCGUUAUCCGGAAUUAUUGGGCGUAAAGCGUGCGCAGGCGGUUCGUUGUGUCGGCGGUGAAAGCCCCGGGCUCAACCUGGGAAUGGCCGUUGAAACUGGCGAACUGGAGUGUGGCAGAGGGGGGUGGAAUUCCGCGUGUAGCAGUGAAAUGCGUAGAGAUGCGGAGGAACACCGAUGGCGAAGGCAGCCCCCUGGGCUAACACUGACGCUCAGGCACGAAAGCGUGGGGAGCAAACAGG
Molecule: ribosomal RNA, 253 nt
Filed under: uncultured bacterium
Lineage: Bacteria
Description: partial 16S ribosomal RNA
Rfam family: Bacterial small subunit ribosomal RNA
Source: RNAcentral